Molecule: transfer RNA, 76 nt
Filed under: Pseudomonadota bacterium
Lineage: Bacteria; Pseudomonadati; Pseudomonadota
Also listed under: 1 other name
Description: tRNA-Lys
Rfam family: tRNA
About the family: Transfer RNA (tRNA) molecules are approximately 80 nucleotides in length.
Source: RNAcentral
GGGCCGCUAGCUCAAUUGGCAGAGCAAGUGACUCUUAAUCACUUGGUUACAGGUUCGAGUCCUGUGCGGCUCACCA